RNAcentral lists this ribosomal RNA (774 nucleotides) under uncultured Neocallimastigales. RNAcentral describes it as "partial large subunit ribosomal RNA". It matches the Rfam family "Eukaryotic large subunit ribosomal RNA", at positions 23 to 647 of the family's 3401-position model. The record is from RNAcentral. Lineage: Eukaryota; Fungi; Neocallimastigomycota; Neocallimastigomycetes; Neocallimastigales.
AGAGAUGUGUGAUGACGCAUAUCAAUAAGCGGAGGAAAAGAAACUAACAAGGAUUCCCUUAGUAACGGCGAGUGAAGCGGGAAGAGCUCAAAUUUGAAAUCUUCAAGGUUCUACCUUGACGAAUUGUAGUUUAUAGAAGUGUUUUCUGUUAGUGGAGUGGCAAAAGUUCUUUGGGAUAGGACAUCAUAGAGGGUGAGAAUCCCGUAUUUGGUCAUUCCUCCUAGCGUUGUGAUACACUUUCAACGAGUCGGAUUGUUUGGGAAUGCAGUCCAAAAUGGGUGGUAAAUUUCAUCUAAAGCUAAAUAUUGGCGAGAGACCGAUAGCGAACAAGUACCGUGAGGGAAAGAUGAAAAGAACUUUGAAAAGAGAGUUAAACAGUACGUGAAAUUGUCAAAAGGGAAGCGUUUGACACCAGUGUUGUUUUUCCGAAAAUCAAUUACGAAUGUUUUAUUUUUGAGAAGUUAUGACUUCAUCGGCUUGCUCUCUUCUUUAUGAAACUUUCUUAAUGCACUUUUCGGUUAACAAGUCAACAUCAAUUUCUUUUGUUGUAAAAGGGUAUGAGGAAGGUGGCUUUCUUUUCGGAGAAAGUGUUUAUAGCCUUGUACCUCUGCAAUCGGAGAGAUUGAGGUCUGCAGCGUAGAUCCUUCGGGGUUAGAUACAUUUGUGCUAAGUUAUAGCUUUUCAUAGACAACUUGUUGACUAUGUUAAGUCUUGUAGCUUACUCGCUUAUGCUAUUUUACCUACGCUUAGGAUGUUGAUCUGUAGUGCGUGCGC